GAUGAAGAACGCAGCGAAAUGCGAUAAGUAGUGUGAAUUGCAGAAUUCAGUGAAUCAUCGAAUCUUUGAACGCACAUUGCGCCCCUUGGUAUUCCAUGGGGCAUGCCUGUUCGAGCGUCAUUUGUACCUUCAAGCUUUGCUUGGUGUUGGGUGUUUGUCCUGAGGGACUCGCCUUAAAGUAAUUGGCAGCCGGCCUACUGGUUUCGGAGCGCAGCACAAGUCGCACUCUCUAUCAGCAAAGGUCUAGCAUCCACUAAGCCUUUUUUUCAACUUUUGACCUCGGAUCAGGUAGGGAUACCCGCUGAACUUAAGCAUAUCAAUAAGCGGAGGA
RNAcentral lists this unclassified non-coding RNA (331 nucleotides) under soil metagenome. RNAcentral describes it as "partial contains 5.8S ribosomal RNA, internal transcribed spacer 2, and large subunit ribosomal RNA". The stretch from base 1 to 120 matches the Rfam family "5.8S ribosomal RNA", at positions 35 to 154 of the family's 154-position model. The record is from RNAcentral.